RNAcentral lists this transfer RNA (73 nucleotides) under Nocardioides sp. S5. Its description in RNAcentral is "tRNA-Ala". It matches the Rfam family "tRNA". Rfam says of the family: Transfer RNA (tRNA) molecules are approximately 80 nucleotides in length. The record is from RNAcentral. Lineage: Bacteria; Bacillati; Actinomycetota; Actinomycetes; Propionibacteriales; Nocardioidaceae.
GGGGCCUUGGCGCGAUUGAUAGCGCACUGCCUUUGCCACGCAGGGAUCGCGGGUCCGAGCCCCGCAGGCUUCA